UGGCUAUUCAGGGUCUCUUCUGGUUCCAUACAAAUUUUAGGGUUGUUUAAGCUCUGUGAAGAAUGCUGAUGUUCUUUUGAUAGGGAUUUCAUUGAAUAUGUAGAUUUCUUUGGGUAGUAUCGAUCCGUGCUUUUUAAUACCAGAUUGUUUUAAGGAAUUUAAUCUGCCACUAUUCCUUUUCUGAAAAAGAAAAUAGAAACAAAACUAAACUCAAACACCAAAAUACCUCACGCUCUGUUGUGAUCAUUGAAAUAAAUGAACACACUUUUAAUGAGUGUUGCAGUGCCUUCUUAGGUUGAGUUUGCCCUCAAGAAGGUUACGGUCCACACUACACCCAGUGACCUGGUCAGUGGUGUCAUUGUGGUUUUGAUAAGCCCUAUGAGAAGAAAUGAAGGCUGAGAUAGAGGCAUCUAACAGGAGGAUGUGUCCUUGUCAUGGUUUGGGGGAACACUUUUCUGUGACAUUUGUGGGAGACCUGAAAGAUGGCUGAUGUUAAGAUGGAGAAGUCCUGAGUGGGCAGAGGGACGGGGCAAGAGAACUAUUGAGAAAGAGGAAGUAAAGUUUGUGGAUUCUGAGGUCAGGAGAGUGGUUGUUGCAGGUAACAAAAAGAAGGUCAAUGUGGCUGGAGCACAGAGGAGCAGGAUGAGAGGUGCGUGUUCCUGCCAAAGAGAUAUGCAGGGGUGAGUUCUUGAGGUGGCACCAGGAGGCACCACAUUUUCUGAAUCUUUUGCUUUUCUCCAUGGUGCCUAGAACACAGCUGGAUAGAGUUGAAAAUAACUACAUUAUUUUUGAGUUAACUGGGGUAGGUCAUUUGAGCACCAGUUUCUUGGGUUAAGAUUUUGGACUCGUAAUGUCUUAAAUUGGUAUGGGAUCAUUAGGGGGUGACACUGUCUAAGAAUUGUCUUUAACACCAUCCUAAGACGCAUAUAAACAAAUAUGCAGACAGUCUUGCAUUUGAAGCGUGUUAGAGCUGGAAGACCUUGGGUCACCUGCUGUGAUAGUCUAAAACACUAGUUCUGUUUGUGAAGUACGGGAAGUUCUGGUGCCUCCAAGUAUGAUCUUUCCAUGUCUUGUCCAAUUUCAUCCUUACAACAGCUCAAGGAGGUGAAAACUAAAUGGGUGAACUUGUCUUUCUGUCCCCUUAGCAAGAUGGACUCUCCCCAUAUUGGCGCGAAUGGGUAGAAUGAUCACUUUAUUCUCCCCAGGAGUGAGCAAGUCAAUUUUUUGGGAAAGAAGCCAAGACCAACAAAAUUACCACUCAGGUUAUGGUGUGAAGGUCUGGUAGCAAUGUAGGGAGGAUUAUCUCUAUGGGAGAUGUGUACCUUGAUGGCUUAUUAUCACCACACCAUCAUCGCUGCUACUACAUGACGAAAGCAAGCAGUGUUUACCUAGUGUUUCCAUCAUAUCUUGACACCAUGCUAAGCAUGUUACAUGGAUCAACUCAUUUCAUAUUCACAAGCAUUCCAGAAGUACUGCUGAGAUAUCCACUUGACAGAUGAGACUCCUGAAGAUGGAGAAAUUUAGGAAGCUUGCCAAGGCUCUCCCUUGCUAUGUACAGGAGCCAGGAUUUGAACUCAGGCAGGCCUGCCUCUUACCUGGCCCAGCCAACACCAACAUCUUUGAAACCAGGCAACUCCAGGUUUGAAUCCAAGCUCUGCCACAUACCAGAUACAUGUCAGAAUAAUUUACGUGACCUCUCUGAGCCUCAGUUUGCACAUUUGUAAAAUCGUGGUCACUGGGAGGAUUGACAGAGAUGGUCUAUGCAAAUGCCAAAGCUCAGAGCCCAGCGCAUAAUCAGUGGCUAACAAAUGUUAGUUCCCUUCCUGUGGGAAUGUUGGAGAGAUCAAUUGCUCCCUGAAGGCUGACACAGGAAGUGCCUACCUCAGUGCACCCAAUGAGACUUUGAGGAAUUAGGUUGGGCAGCUUUAAUUGAUCAUCUUGUAAUUUCCACAACUGGAUGCAGAUCAGCUGCACUGUAUCCUAGACUAAUUACGUUUGUCACUCCACCAGGCCUGAAGAACACAUUGUUGUAUCUUUGCUAUUAAAAUGGGGUUCAUCUAAUUAAAGCCACGGAGUUUUGCAAACA
Felis catus (domestic cat) is the source of this 2086-nucleotide long non-coding RNA. RefSeq lists it as uncharacterized. The transcript is spliced from 2 exons. The record is from RefSeq and is a predicted model, not a curated record. Lineage: Eukaryota; Metazoa; Chordata; Mammalia; Carnivora; Felidae.